GACGAACCAUGAUGUCAUUUAUUUGGUGUUGUGGGGAAUCAGGACGGUUACUUUGAAAAAAUUAAAGUGUUUAAAGCAGGCCCACCCUUGAAUACAUUACCAUGGAAUAAUGAAAUAGGACGUUUGAUUCUAUUUUGUUGGUUUCUAGGAUCGACUUAUUGAUUAAUAGGGAUAGUUGGGGGCAUUAUUAUUCAAUUGUCAGAGGUGAAAUUCUUGGAUUUAUUGAAAACUAACUACUGCGAAAGCAUUUGCCAAGGAUGUUUUCAUUAAUCAAGAACGAAAGUUAGGGGAUCGAAAACGAUCAGAUACCGUCGUAGUCUUAACCAUAAACUAUGCCGACUAGGGAUCGGAUGAUGUUAAUUUUUUAAUGACUCAUUCGGCGCCUUACG
RNAcentral lists this ribosomal RNA (389 nucleotides) under uncultured Glomeromycotina. RNAcentral describes it as "SSU rRNA". It matches the Rfam family "Eukaryotic small subunit ribosomal RNA", at positions 705 to 1092 of the family's 1831-position model. Lineage: Eukaryota; Fungi; Glomeromycota. The record is from RNAcentral.